Molecule: ribosomal RNA, 878 nt
Filed under: Ramularia agastaches
Lineage: Eukaryota; Fungi; Ascomycota; Dothideomycetes; Mycosphaerellales; Mycosphaerellaceae
Description: eukaryotic LSU rRNA
Rfam family: Eukaryotic large subunit ribosomal RNA
Source: RNAcentral
UUAAGCAUAUCAAUAAGCGGAGGAAAAGAAACCAACAGGGAUUGCCCUAGUAACGGCGAGUGAAGCGGCAACAGCUCAAAUUUGAAAUCUGGCGCAAGCCCGAGUUGUAAUUUGUAGAGGAUGCUUCUAGGUAGCGACCGGUCUAAGUUCCUUGGAACAGGACGUCAUAGAGGGUGAGAAUCCCGUAUGUGACCGGCCCGCACCUUCUACGUAGCUCCUUCGACGAGUCGAGUUGUUUGGGAAUGCAGCUCUAAAUGGGAGGUAAAUUUCUUCUAAAGCUAAAUACCGGCCAGAGACCGAUAGCGCACAAGUAGAGUGAUCGAAAGAUGAAAAGCACUUUGGAAAGAGAGUUAAAAAGCACGUGAAAUUGUUGAAAGGGAAGCGCUUACAACCAGACUUCUGGGCGGUGUUCCGCCGGUCUUUUGACCGGUCUACUCGCCGUCCCGAGGCCAACAUCAUCUGGGACCGCUGGAUAAGACCUCAGGAAUGUAGCUUCCCUCGGGAAGUGUUAUAGCCUGUGGUGAUGCAGCGCGUCUCGGGUGAGGUCCGCGCUUCGGCAAGGAUGUUGGCGUAAUGGUUGUCAGCGGCCCGUCUUGAAACACGGACCAAGGAGUCUAACAUCUAUGCGAGUGUUCGGGUGUCAAACCCCUACGCGUAAUGAAAGUGAACGGAGGUGGGAAGCGUAAGCUGCACCAUCGACCGAUCCUGAUGUCCUCGGAUGGAUUUGAGUAAGAGCAUAGCUGUUGGGACCCGAAAGAUGGUGAACUAUGCCUGAAUAGGGUGAAGCCAGAGGAAACUCUGGUGGAGGCUCGCAGCGGUUCUGACGUGCAAAUCGAUCGUCAAAUUUGGGUAUAGGGGCGAAAGACUAAUCGAACCAU